Molecule: ribosomal RNA, 1383 nt
Filed under: uncultured bacterium
Lineage: Bacteria
Description: bacterial SSU rRNA
Rfam family: Bacterial small subunit ribosomal RNA
Source: RNAcentral
CCUGGCUCACGAUGAACGCUAGCUACAGGCUUAACACAUGCAAGUCGAGGGGCAGCAUGGUCUUAGCUUGCUAAGGCCGAUGGCGACCGGCGCACGGGUGAGUAACGCGUAUCCAACCUGCCUUACACUCUUGGACAGCCUUCUGAAAGGGAGAUUAAUACAAGAUGUUAUCAUGAGUAAGCAUUUUCGCAUGAUUAAAGGUUUACCGGUGUAAGAUGGGGAUGCGUUCCAUUAGAUAGUAGGCGGGGUAACGGCCCACCUAGUCUUCGAUGGAUAGGGGUUCUGAGAGGAAGGUCCCCCACAUUGGAACUGAGACACGGUCCAAACUCCUACGGGAGGCAGCAGUGAGGAAUAUUGGUCAAUGGACGAGAGUCUGAACCAGCCAAGUAGCGUGAAGGAUGAAGGUUCUAUGGAUUGUAAACUUCUUUUAUACGGGAAUAAACGAAUCCACGUGUGGAUUUUUGCAUGUACCGUAUGAAUAAGGAUCGGCUAACUCCGUGCCAGCAGCCGCGGUAAUACGGAGGAUCCGAGCGUUAUCCGGAUUUAUUGGGUUUAAAGGGAGCGUAGAUGGGUUGUUAAGUCAGUUGUGAAAGUUUGCGGCUCAACCGUAAAAUUGCAAUUGAUACUGGCAGUCUUGAGUACAGUUGAGGUAGGCGGAAUUCGUGGUGUAGCGGUGAAAUGCUUAGAUAUCACGAAGAACUCCGAUUGCGAAGGCAGCUUACUAACCUGUAACUGACAUUGAUGCUCGAAAGUGUGGGUAUCAAACAGGAUUAGAUACCCUGGUAGUCCACACGGUAAACGAUGAAUACUCGCUGUAGGCGAUAUACAGUCUGCGGCCAAGCGAAAGCAUUAAGUAUUCCACCUGGGGAGUACGCCGGCAACGGUGAAACUCAAAGGAAUUGACGGGGGCCCGCACAAGCGGAGGAACAUGUGGUUUAAUUCGAUGAUACGCGAGGAACCUUACCCGGGCUUAAAUUGCAACCGAAUAUGGCGGAAACGCUAUAGCUAGCAAUAGCGGUUGUGAAGGUGCUGCAUGGUUGUCGUCAGCUCGUGCCGUGAGGUGUCGGCUUAAGUGCCAUAACGAGCGCAACCCUUGCCGAUAGUUACUAACAGGUUAUGCUGAGGACUCUGUCGGGACUGCCAUCGUAAGAUGUGAGGAAGGUGGGGAUGACGUCAAAUCAGCACGGCCCUUACGUCCGGGGCUACACACGUGUUACAAUGGGGGGUACAGAGGGCUGCUACCACGCAAGUGGAUGCCAAUCCCAAAAACCUCUCUCAGUUCGGAUUGAAGUCUGCAACCCGACUUCAUGAAGCUGGAUUCGCUAGUAAUCGCGCAUCAGCCACGGCGCGGUGAAUACGUUCCCGGGCCUUGUACACACCGCC